Molecule: ribosomal RNA, 253 nt
Filed under: uncultured bacterium
Lineage: Bacteria
Description: partial 16S ribosomal RNA
Rfam family: Bacterial small subunit ribosomal RNA
Source: RNAcentral
UACAGAGGGUGCGAGCGUUAAUCGGAAUUACUGGGCGUAAAGCGUGCGUAGACGGUAGCGUAAGUCAGAUGUGAAAGCCCCGGGCUCAACCUGGGAACUGCAUUUGAGACUGCUCUGCUCGGGUGCGGAAGAGGGAAGCGGAGUUUCCGGUGUAGCGGUGAAAUGCGUAGAUAUCGGGAAGAACACCCGUGGCGAAGGCGGCUCUCUGGGACGGUACUGACGCUGAGACGCGAAAGCGUGGGGAGCGAACAGG